RNAcentral lists this ribosomal RNA (291 nucleotides) under uncultured bacterium. Its description in RNAcentral is "partial 16S ribosomal RNA". It matches the Rfam family "Bacterial small subunit ribosomal RNA", at positions 773 to 1060 of the family's 1533-position model. The record is from RNAcentral.
GUGGAUUAGAUACCCUAGUAGUCCUGGCCGUAAACGAUGGAUACUAGGUGUUGCGGGUAUCGACCCCUGCAGUGCCGUAGCUAACGCGAUAAGUAUCCCGCCUGGGGAGUACGCACGCAAGUGUGAAACUCAAAGGAAUUGACGGGGACCCGCACAAGCGGUGGAACAUGUGGUUUAAUUCGAAGCAACGCGAAAAACCUUACCAGGGCUUGACAUCUAACAAACCUCUGUGAAAGCAGAGGGUGCUCUUCGGAGAAUGUUAAGACAGGUGGUGCACGGUCGUCGUCAGCU